RNAcentral lists this long non-coding RNA (5130 nucleotides) under Sus scrofa (pig). RNAcentral's name for it is "lncRNA (ENSSSCG00060059870.1, ENSSSCG00175034811.1)". The record is from RNAcentral. Lineage: Eukaryota; Metazoa; Chordata; Mammalia; Artiodactyla; Suidae.
UUUUUCUUUUUCUUUCUUUUUUUUUUUUUUGUCUUUUCUAGGGCCCAGCCUGCAGCAUAUGGAGGUUCCUAGGCUAGGGGUCUAAUAGGAGCUACAGCUGCUGGCCGACACCACAGUCACUGCAAUACCAGAUCCAGCUCAUGGCAACGCUGGAUCCUUAACCCACUGAGCAAGGCCAGAGAUGGAACCCGUAACCUCAUGGUUCCUAGUCAGAUUCGUUAACCACUGAGCCAUGACGGGAACUCCACUAAUUGGUUUUUGAUCAUACCUCCUGGACACACUUUUCUUACUUGGAGGAAAGUUCUAGCGUUCCUUAAUAGUAAGUAAUUACUUUGGCUAGUGGGCAGCUUAUGGAAGCUGGAAUCUUUCAUGCAUUUUCAGCUAUUCUCAGUGACUACUUCCAAUAGAUAGAAGUUCCCUUUCAGGAAGAUCACCCACUGAUCAUUAUUACCUCUGUUAGAAUCACAGGAACUGACCUGGGGCUUAGAAACUAGUGAGCGCUAGUUUACACAGCUUUCUAGUCCCUUUGCCCCAUAACUUAUCUAAGGGAAAUCUGGUCCCCCCAGGUUAGCUACAUAUUUCUAAUGACUUGGAAUUGCAUUUCUGGCCAUUUCACUUUAUUUCUACUCUCUAGUCCAAGGAUAAAUAUCAUUAGCUCAUUAAUUCUUUCAGCUAAUAUUUACUGAAUGUCUACUAUGGACAUUGAUUUAUUUAAAUUAGAGUAUUCAAUAUACUCUUCCUGGGAGUAUAUUAAAGUUGCUACCCUCCUGAAGGGUAUAUUCUAAGAGGUGGGGGAGUGCGGGUGUGGAGAUGGACAACAAAUACAUAACUAAGUAAACAUAAAGAACGUAACUGGUAAAAUAAGUGCUGUAGAAAACAGAAAGGUAGAGUGCCUGUUGUGGCUCAGUGCGUUAAGAACUGGAUAUAGCAUCCAUGAGGAUGCCGGUUCGAUCCCUGGCCUUGCUCAGUGGGUCAUGGAUCCUGCAUUGCCGUGAGCUGUGGCAUAAGACACACAGGUGGCUCAGAUACGGCGUUGCUGUGGCUGUGGUAUAGGCCUCGGCUGUAGCUCCAAUUCAACCUCUGGCCAGGGAACUUCCAUACAUGACAGGUACAGCUUAAAACAACAACAACAACAACAACAACAACAACAACAGAAAAGGAAGGGAAAGGAGAUAAGGAGUUGGGAGGGGGAUGGGCAGUUGCUAUUUUAUGAUUUGCAAAGGUCUCACUAAAAAUGUAACAUUUGUCGGAGUUCCCGCUGUGGUACAGUGGGUUUAGCAUCCAGCUGAGGUUGCAGCUGUGGCUCUAAUUCCAUCCCUGGCCUAGGAAAUUCCACAUGCUCUGGGUGUGGCCAUAAAAUACAUAAAAAUAAAAAUGUAACAUGUGAGAAUAUAUCUAAAGAAAGUGAAGGAGUGAGGCACAUAAUUAUCUGGCGGAAAACAUUUUCGGCAGAAGAUACAGCAAGUGGGCUAGCUUUAACAUGUUCUAAGGCUGGAGCUGACAAGAUUUGCUGAUAGAUUGAUUGGAUGAGGAAUGAAAGAGUGAGGCCUCAAGAAUGGCUACAAGGUGGGUUUCUUUGUUUUUUGUUUUUUGUUUUCCCCAUGCCUGCUGCAUGGAAAAAUUUCCCCAGGGCCAGGGAUCGAAACUGUGCCACAGCAGUGAAUUGAGCUGCUACAGUGACAACACUGGAUCCUUAACCCACUGCCCCAAAAGAGAGCUCUCAGGAUGACUAUGAGAUUUUCAGCCUGAGAAAAACCAGGGGGCAGAGUUUCCAUUACUUGAGACAGAGAAGACUAUGGGGAGAGGAGAUUCUUCCCCUGGGGCAUGAUUCAGAAAUCAGUAAUCUCAUUUAGCAUUUUUCCUUUUCUUGUUUGGCCUCCCUGAAAGGCAUAUGAGGUUCUCCAGCCAGGGAUCAGAUCCAAGUGCAGUUGUGACCUAUGCUACAGCUGUGGAAAAGCCCAAUCCUUAACCAAACUGUGCUGGGCCAGGGAUCACAUCUGUGUCCCAGAGCUCCAGGGAGGCCUAUUCCCUUGUGCCACAGCAGGAACUCCUCAUUUAGCAUAUAUUAACUUGAGAGGCCUUUUAGACAUUCAGGUAGAGAUAUCAAGUAGGUAGUUGGAAAAUCAGAUUUGGAAUUCAGGCUAGAGACCUGAGCUGGAGCUAUAAAUUUAUGCUCCAGUAGCAUAUAGGUGUAUUUUUAAAGCCAGGAGCCUACAUGAGAUCACCCAGCAGAAAGGAAAAGUGAAGGUUUGAAGACUGAUCCCAGGAGCACACCAACUUUUAGAGGUGGGGACAUGAGGACUAGCUGACAAGGGAGACCGAGAGGGAGAAGAACCAAGAAACAUGUCUGAUUUGAUACGCAUGUAAAUCAAUGAGGUUAGAGCACAUCCUCAAACCAUAGGCAGAAAUAAACUCAGAAUGGUUUAAAGACCUAAAUAUAGGACAUGACACCAGGGAGUUCCCAUUGCGGCUGAGUGGAAACGAAUCUGACUAGUAUCUAUGAGGAUGCGGGUUCAAUCCCUAGCCUCACUCAGUGGGUUAAGGAUCUGGCAUUGCCCUGAACUGUGGUGUAGGUCGCAGACUUGGCUCAGAUCCUGCAUUGCUGUGGCUGUGGUUGCAGACGCGGCUCGGAUCCCGUGUUGCUGUGGCUCUGGUGUAGGCCUGUGGCUACAGCUUGGAUUAGACCCCUAGCCUGGGAACCUCCAUAUGCCACAGGAGCAGCACAAGAAAUGCCAAAAAAAAAAAAAAAAAAAAAAAGGUGAAACAUAAAGCGAGUGCUUGGCACAGACUAAGCACUCAAUAAAUGUUGGCUAUGAACAAAUUUGCUAUUUUCUUAGUUAUAAAUUUCAUGUGACCAUAGAAUCUUUGGACACAGUACCCAUGGAAGGCACAAUAUACAUUACUUCUAUAGAUUCAGGAAAGUCUUGACACCUUAAUUAAUGCACAGGAGUCAAAAUCAGCACAGAAAGUAAGAGUGAUGAUGGAAAGUGGUUAGUGUUAAGGCUAAACUUGUUUGGUAUUUAAAUUCAGUGUGAGAGGCAAAAUCAUGGCCCACAUAGAUAUCCAAACCCUAAUCCUUGGAAUCUGUGAAAAUGUUCACUUAUAUGGAAAAGAGGUUUUGCAGAUGUUACUAGGGGCAGCAACCUUGAGAAUGACUAUCCUGUUUUAUCCAGGUGGGUCCAAAUGAGACACAUGAGUCCUUAAAAGCGAGAACCUUUCCUGCUAUGGUCAGAGAUAGAGGUGAUGAUGGAAGAAGGGUCAGAGAGACGUGAUGUGCGGACUCACCCAGCAGACCAGCUGUUGUUGGCUCUGCAAAUAGAAGUGAACCAAGAUACAUAGGCUGCCCUUAAAGCUGGGAAAGGUAAGGAAGCACACACUCUCCUUGAGCAUCCAGAAAAGAAUGAGGCCAGGCCCACACCUUAAUUUUUAGCCCAAAGAGUCUUAUUUUGGAUCCAUCCUAGAGAACUGUGAGAUAAUCAAUUUGUUACAGUAGGAAAAGAGAACUCAUAAGCUAUGAACUGAAAAAAGCAUGGGAGUUUGUUUUUAUAGCCUCUAAGAUAGUUCUGUGGAACUGACCCAGAGAAGCUGGGGGCAAGAAGGUCGUAGAUAUGUGAUUUUGGAGAAGAGGUACUUGCAAUCAGGCAUAUCUUGGUAGGUAGAAGGUUACUGUUCGUCACGAGGAACAGAGCUCAGCUAAAGAUUUUAGUGCUUUUCUAAAUAUGGGAAGAUGUAAGAGUCUGGGUUCACAGAAUUCUCUCCUGAAAAUAUGUCACUCUCUGAGGGCCUGUCUCAACACUUCUCCCAGCACGUGGCAUGCCUCAUCGCUGAUCUGCACCCUGAAUUCUUUCCAGGGUGUACUGCAGGUCAGUGAGCGCGGUGGCUAAUGAUUCGAUUCUUGUAGAACUGGGCAGCGAGUGACAUUCCUCAGUUGGCAACACCAAUGAGGCAAUUUUUUGCAAGGCCAUAGAAUUCUAGUCCAUUUAUCAUGUUUUGCACUAAAAAAAACUUAAAUGAAACAUGCUAUGAAUAAAUAAGCAGGACCAAAGCUCUAUAUUCCAUUGGCUUGAACCAUAGAUGAGUUAGGCUCACGAUACACCAGUGUCCUGUUCUACAGCAUUUGAGAUGGCUUAGCCUAGGCCUGAGGCUGAAGGAAAGUUGACAGAUUAGCAAGAAAGUCAAAUCAUUGGUAUUUCAGGGCAAUGCUGAAUCUGUUGGGACGUUCACACAUGGAUUAUAAAUGCACUGGGUGAUCUUAUCUUGGUGAAACUGGAUUUUUUGGAAAUUCUUUUAGAAAGAAGUAGUUUGGUCCAAAUUUCAGAAAUUUAAAAUAUACACUACAUUUCUAAAAGCGCAGAGCUGAAGGAAUUUCAGACAUUUUAUCUGACAAAACUGGAUGACAAUAACGCUGUGCGGUGCACGUUUUACAACAGCAAUAGUAUGAAUAAAGACAGCUAAUGUUCAUUGCUGACUUGCAGUGCAAUAUGGUCCUGAAAACAAAAUAUGCCAACAUUGAACUAUCAGAAUUUUAUAAAUAUCACAGUGGUACUUAACUUACCUAUAAAACCAUUUGGAAUGUAUCUAUUUUCUGAUGUACUUACGUUGUAGAACAAAGAUAGGUAAAUGACAUUUAUCUGACUCAUUUUAACUACAUUAUGUUCUCUAUGAUAUAAAUUUUUGAAAAUUACACUUUAUUAUCCAGUACAUUGUCAAUUUUAUGAGUUUUGUCUCUGAACUUGUAUUUAAAAAUUGGAUUACUUAAGUACAGGUUACUGCACAUGUGAAAUUCACUAUAUUCUUACUGAUUGCUGACCUAUUAGUUACAGAAAGAGAUAUGUUAAAAAAUCAUAUAUUUGCAUAUUUGUAUACCUCCAUGAAAUUGUCAUAUAUAAUACGUAUAUAUACAUGUAUCACAUACAUAGGCUAUGGUGUUAGAUACUUGUAAGUUUGGAGUCACUAGACAUUGCAGGUUAAUGUAAAUGUUUAGCAUUAUAUUGUGGCCCCAUUUACCUUCUAUAAUGCAUUUCCCCCCAAAAUCCACUCAAAUAGCACUACAGCAAAUUAACUUUCUUUGAAUUGUAUUUACCUAGUAUUUCUUUUUCUAUCCUUUUAUUUUCAACCUUUUUAUCUUUA